AAAUUGAAGAGUUUGAUCAUGGCUCAGAUUGAACGCUGGCGGCAGGCCUAACACAUGCAAGUCGAACGGUAACAGGAAACAGCUUGCUGUUUCGCUGACGAGUGGCGGACGGGUGAGUAAUGUCUGGGAAACUGCCUGAUGGAGGGGGAUAACUACUGGAAACGGUAGCUAAUACCGCAUAACGUCGCAAGACCAAAGAGGGGGACCUUCGGGCCUCUUGCCAUCGGAUGUGCCCAGAUGGGAUUAGCUUGUUGGUGGGGUAACGGCUCACCAAGGCGACGAUCCCUAGCUGGUCUGAGAGGAUGACCAGCCACACUGGAACUGAGACACGGUCCAGACUCCUACGGGAGGCAGCAGUGGGGAAUAUUGCACAAUGGGCGCAAGCCUGAUGCAGCCAUGCCGCGUGUAUGAAGAAGGCCUUCGGGUUGUAAAGUACUUUCAGCGGGGAGGAAGGGAGUGAAGUUAAUACCUUUGCUCAUUGACGUUACCCGCAGAAGAAGCACCGGCUAACUCCGUGCCAGCAGCCGCGGUAAUACGGAGGGUGCAAGCGUUAAUCGGAAUUACUGGGCGUAAAGCGCACGCAGGCGGUUUGUUAAGUCAGAUGUGAAAUCCCCGGGCUCAACCUGGGAACUGCAUCUGAUACUGGCAAGCUUGAGUCUCGUAGAGGGGGGUAGAAUUCCAGGUGUAGCGGUGAAAUGCGUAGAGAUCUGGAGGAAUACCGGUGGCGAAGGCGGCCCCCUGGACGAAGACUGACGCUCAGGUGCGAAAGCGUGGGGAGCAAACAGGAUUAGAUACCCUGGUAGUCCACGCCGUAAACGAUGUCGACUUGGAGGUUGUGCCCUUGAGGCGUGGCUUCCGGAGCUAACGCGUUAAGUCGACCGCCUGGGGAGUACGGCCGCAAGGUUAAAACUCAAAUGAAUUGACGGGGGCCCGCACAAGCGGUGGAGCAUGUGGUUUAAUUCGAUGCAACGCGAAGAACCUUACCUGGUCUUGACAUCCACGGAAGUUUUCAGAGAUGAGAAUGUGCCUUCGGGAACCGUGAGACAGGUGCUGCAUGGCUGUCGUCAGCUCGUGUUGUGAAAUGUUGGGUUAAGUCCCGCAACGAGCGCAACCCUUAUCCUUUGUUGCCAGCGGUCCGGCCGGGAACUCAAAGGAGACUGCCAGUGAUAAACUGGAGGAAGGUGGGGAUGACGUCAAGUCAUCAUGGCCCUUACGACCAGGGCUACACACGUGCUACAAUGGCGCAUACAAAGAGAAGCGACCUCGCGAGAGCAAGCGGACCUCAUAAAGUGCGUCGUAGUCCGGAUUGGAGUCUGCAACUCGACUCCAUGAAGUCGGAAUCGCUAGUAAUCGUGGAUCAGAAUGCCACGGUGAAUACGUUCCCGGGCCUUGUACACACCGCCCGUCACACCAUGGGAGUGGGUUGCAAAAGAAGUAGGUAGCUUAACCUUCGGGAGGGCGCUUACCACUUUGUGAUUCAUGACUGGGGUGAAGUCGUAACAAGGUAACCGUAGGGGAACCUGCGGUUGGAUCACCUCCUUACCUUAAAGAAGC
This 1554-nucleotide ribosomal RNA is filed under the name Escherichia coli. Its description in RNAcentral is "bacterial SSU rRNA". It matches the Rfam family "Bacterial small subunit ribosomal RNA". Lineage: Bacteria; Pseudomonadati; Pseudomonadota; Gammaproteobacteria; Enterobacterales; Enterobacteriaceae. The record is from RNAcentral.